CUACACGGGUUUCUAAUCCUGUUUGCUCCCCACGCUUUCGUACCUGAGCGUCAGUUCCCGUCCAGUUGGCCGCCUACGCCACUGGUGUUCCUCCGAAUAUCUGCGAAUUUCACCUCUACACUCGGAAUUCCGCCAACCUCUCCGGGACUCUAGAAAUGGAGUUUCAAAAGCAAUUCCAGGGUUGAGCCCUGGGAUUUCACUUCUGACUUUCAUUUCCGCCUGCGUACGCUUUACGCCCAGUGAUUCCGAACAACGCUCGCCCCAUGCGUAUUACCGCGGCGGCUGGCAC
RNAcentral lists this ribosomal RNA (289 nucleotides) under uncultured Pseudomonadota bacterium. RNAcentral's name for it is "uncultured proteobacterium partial 16S ribosomal RNA". The record is from RNAcentral. Lineage: Bacteria; Pseudomonadati; Pseudomonadota.